Oncorhynchus gorbuscha (pink salmon) is the source of this 3261-nucleotide RNA transcript. It is a transcript of the gene named exosome complex exonuclease RRP44-like, with no coding region annotated. Lineage: Eukaryota; Metazoa; Chordata; Actinopteri; Salmoniformes; Salmonidae. The record is from RefSeq and is a predicted model, not a curated record. The transcript is spliced from 21 exons.
UGUACAUCGGUCUCGGGUGGAAUGUUUGUUGAUGUACACCUAUGAGUAGAAACGUAUCAAAAUUACUGUUGUGAUAUAUAUUUAUCGGAGUUAUGUUGAAAUCAAAAACUUUCGUAAAGAAAACCCGAUCAGGCGGGAUCAUGAAAAUAGUCCGUGAGCAUUACCUGCGAGACGAUAUUUGGUGCGGAAGUGAAGUUUGUACAGAAUGCAAGCAAGAAGAGACUGUGUUGCAGAAAGACGCUUGCAUUGAAAGCAACUUGUGUUCUUUCCCACACUAUUUACUCCCAGACACAAAUAUUGUGUUGAGCCAGAUUGAUAUCCUGGAGGAUCCCUUGAUCAAGAACGUGAUCAUUCUGCAGACUGUACUCCAAGAGGUCCGCCACAGGAGCGCUCCCAUCUACAAGCGGUUGAAAGACAUCCUUCACGACAAGGAAAAACACUUUUACACUUUCACUAAUGAACAUCACAGAGAAACGUAUAUAGAGAGAGAGCAGGGGGAAAGCGCCAACGAUCGUAAUGACAGAGCCAUCCGCAUAUCUACCAAGUGGUACAGUGAUCACCUGAACAACACCCCCACGGACAAGAGGUUAAAGGUUGUUUUGCUGACCAACGACCGGGGCAACAAGGAGAAAGCAGAGGAGUCCGGCCUGCUCACAUACAGAUGUGAGGAGUACGUCAAGAGUCUGAUAGCCAACCCUGAGCUGGUGGAUCGACUGGCUUUGACCAACGAUGACAAGAAUGAGAUCACCAGCAGUAAGGUGUUGUUCCCGGAGCACCUGCCCCUGUCUAGGAUCCAGUCUGGGAUUAAGAGUGGGACCUUCCAACAGGGAACGUUCCGGGCUAGCAGAGACAACUACCUGGAGGCUACUGUGUUCGUCCACGGAGAAGGAGAUGACAGUACAGAGGUUCUGAUCCAAGGCCUGCAGAACCUGAACAGGGCUGUCCAUCAGGACCUGGUUGCUGUGGAGAUCCUGCCUCUGAACCAAUGGGUGGCUCCGUCCUCUGUGGUGCUGCAGGACGAGGGGCCCAAGGAGGAUGAUGUCACAGAGGAGGAGGAGGCAGAGUUGAAGAGUGGUCCGUCUGGGGCGGCGUCACGGAAGCCCACAGGCAGGGUGGUGGGCAUCAUCAAGAGGAACUGGAGACCCUUCUGUGGCAUGCUCUUCCUGUCCCAAAUCAAAGAGGCGACCCGUCACCUCUUCACCCCAGCCGACCGCCGUAUCCCCAGGAUCCGUAUAGAGACGCGCCAGGCGGCCACGUUGGCAGGACAGAGGAUCAUGGUGGCCGUCGACGGCUGGCCCAAGCACUCCAGAUACCCGAAUGGCCAUUUUGUUCGUAGCCUGGGAAGUGCAGGGGACAAGGAGACGGAGACGGAGGUGCUACUGCUGGAGCAUGAUGUCCCUCACCAGGACUUCUCACAGGCCGUCCUCAGUUUCCUCCCCAAGAUGCCCUGGAACAUCACAGAGGAGGACAUGGCUGUGAGAGAGGACCUGAGGAACCUGACGGUCUGCAGUGUGGAUCCUCCUGGCUGUACGGACAUAGAUGAUGCUCUGCACUGUAGAGAGCUGCCCAAUGGAAACCAAGAGGUUGGUGUCCACAUUGCUGAUGUGAGCCACUUCAUUCGGCCAGGCAACGCUAUGGACCUGGAGGCUGCUAACAGAGGAACUACAGUCUACCUGACUGGAAGGAGGAUCGACAUGGUUCCUGAACUGCUGAGCUCCAACCUGUGUUCUCUACGAUCCAGUGUGGCGAGGCUGGCCUUCUCUUGUAUAUGGGAGAUCAACGACAAGGCUGAGAUAGUCCAGACCAGAUUCACUAAAAGUGUCAUCGACUCCAAGGCCUCGCUGACAUACGCCGAGGCCCAGAUGAGGAUUGAUGACGCCAACAUGAAUGAUGACACCACCAAGAGCUUACGAGGCCUGAACAGACUUGCCAAGAUCCUGAAGAAACGGAGGAUAGAGAAAGGUGCGUUGACUCUCUCCUCGCCUGAGGUUCGCUUCCACAUCGACAGUGAGACUCACGACCCCAUAGACCUACAGACCAAGGAACUCAAGGAGACCAACUCGAUGGUGGAGGAGUUCAUGUUGCUGGCCAACAUCUCAGUAGCUCAGAAGAUUUAUGAUGAGUUCUCAGAGUGCGCUCUUCUCAGGAAGCACCCCGCCCCUCCUCCAUCCAACUACGACAUCCUUAACAAGGCUGCCAAGUCUAAGAACCUUCAGACAUGGUGAUCCCCCACGGACUCGGCCAAGGCUCUAGCUGACUCUCUGGACUGGCCCACCCCCACGGCUUCCCUUCUGACUUCAACACCUUCCUCGUAUCCUAGCAACACGCUGCAUGAUGCAGGCUGUGUACUUCACCCCCCUCCGGGAUGGACAGUGACUUCCACCACUAUGGACUGGCCUCUCCCAUCUACACACACUUCACCUCACCUAUCAGACGAUACUCUGACAUCAUCGUGCAUCGGCUGCUGGCUGUAGCCAUUGGAGCAGACAGCACUUACCCAGACCUGAUGGACAAACACAAGCAGUCUGCCCUCUGCAACAACCUCAACUACAGACACAAGAUGGCCCAGUACGCACAGCGAGCCUCUGUAGCCUACCACACACAGCUGUUCUUCAAGAGCAGAGGCAUCCUGAACGAAGAGGGCUUCAUCCUGUUUGUGAGGAAGAACGCCAUCAUCGUCCUCAUCCCUAAGUUUGGUCUGGAGGGAACGGUGUUCUUUGAGAACAAAGAUAAACCCAGCCCCAAACUGAUCUUCAACGAAGAGGCUCCUAGUCUGACGGUGGAGGGCCACUCCUUCAACAUGUUUGACAAGGUCAAAGUGACCAUCAGUCUGGAUGCGUCCAACGUCCAGCACCAGAAGAUCAGGAUGUCCCUGGUUGAACCUGUGAUCUCUGGAGUGAGUGUGGCGCCGUCUGAACCAGAACCAGAGGUCAAGAGAGCUAAACUGGACCGUUGAACAACCCCAUCCUCAGACUGAAACUCUUCUCCUAGUUCAGUUUAGAGUUAUUUUAAAUGUCUAGCUUUUCUCUUCUACAUUACAAGCACAGAACAUCCUGUGGUUAAUAUGACUUUAAAACCUUCAGUCAGAACCUUUUUUUCCUUGACCUAUAGAAAGUCAUCCUUCCAGGUAAAUGUUAAUGGGAUGAUUUACUGUGGCAAGACAUAAUGACCCAUGGGGUUUGUACGGUCUAUUCUGGAAGGAAUGUUACCUUGUAAAACUCCCAAUAAAGCUCUUGGUUUUAGCCCAUGUUCCUUUUCUCA